This 254-nucleotide ribosomal RNA is filed under the name uncultured bacterium. RNAcentral describes it as "partial 16S ribosomal RNA". It matches the Rfam family "Bacterial small subunit ribosomal RNA", at positions 524 to 776 of the family's 1533-position model. The record is from RNAcentral.
UACGUAGGGGGCGAGCGUUGUCCGGAUUUAUUGGGCGUAAAGAGCUCGUAGGCGGUUUGGUAAGUUGGAUGUGAAAUCUCCAGGCUCAACUUGGAGGGGUCAUUCGAUACUGCCAUGACUAGAGUUCGGUAGGGGAGUGUGGAAUUCCUGGUGGAGCGGUGAAAUGCGCAGAUAUCAGGAGGAACACCGGUGGCGAAGGCGGGUCUCUGGGCCGAUACUGACGCUGAGGAGCGAAAGCGUGGGGAGCAAACAGG